CUGCCUAUCGGAGCAGCCUCCCAACUCCUACUUGCGUGCAAGCAGGAGCGGGGCGGGGAUGUCUCAGUUAGGCAAGGGGAAGCCUCCUUUCCCAGAUGUGGGAUCCCUGCCCCCUCCUGCUUGCACGCAAAUAAGAAUGGGAUUGGGGCUGCUCUGAUGGGAAG
Podarcis lilfordi (Lilford's wall lizard) is the source of this 164-nucleotide non-coding RNA. NCBI's taxonomy places the organism in Eukaryota, Metazoa, Chordata, Lepidosauria, Squamata, Lacertidae. The record is from the annotation of a GenBank genome assembly.